RNAcentral lists this ribosomal RNA (427 nucleotides) under uncultured bacterium. Its description in RNAcentral is "bacterial SSU rRNA". It matches the Rfam family "Bacterial small subunit ribosomal RNA", at positions 355 to 775 of the family's 1533-position model. The record is from RNAcentral.
UCGAGAAUUUUUCUCAAUGGGCGAAAGCCUGAAGGAGCGACGCCGCGUGGGGGAUGAAGGGCUUCGGCUCGUAAACCCCUGUCAUUUGCGAACAAACCUCGCGUGUAAAUAACGCGCGGGCUGAUUGUAGCGAAAGAGGAAGGGACGGCUAACUCUGUGCCAGCAGCCGCGGUAAUACAGAGGUCCCGAGCGUUGUUCGGAUUCACUGGGCGUAAAGGGUGCGUAGGUGGUGGGGUAAGUCUCGUGUGAAAGCUCGCAGCUCAACUGCGAAAAGUCACGGGAUACUAUUCUGCUAGAGGAUUGGAGGGGGGACUGGAAUACUUGGUGUAGCAGUGAAAUGCGUAGAUAUCAAGUGGAACACCAGUGGCGAAGGCGAGUCCCUGGACAAUUCCUGACACUGAGGCACGAAAGCCAGGGGAGCAAACAG